RNAcentral lists this ribosomal RNA (1014 nucleotides) under uncultured Flavobacteriia bacterium. RNAcentral's name for it is "bacterial SSU rRNA". It matches the Rfam family "Bacterial small subunit ribosomal RNA", at positions 74 to 1085 of the family's 1533-position model. The record is from RNAcentral. Lineage: Bacteria; Pseudomonadati; Bacteroidota; Flavobacteriia.
AUUAGCUUGCUAAUCCGCUGACGAGUGGCGCACGGGUGCGUAACGCGUAUACAAUCUGCCUUUAAGCGGGGAAUAGCCCAUGGAAACGUGGAUUAAUACCCCAUAGUAUGUAGACUUCACCUGGAGACUACAUUAAACAUUUAUGGCUUAAAGAUGAGUAUGCGUCCUAUUAGUUAGUUGGUAAGGUAACGGCUUACCAAGACGGCGAUAGGUAGGGGUCCUGAGAGGGAGAUCCCCCACACUGGUACUGAGACACGGACCAGACUCCUACGGGAGGCAGCAGUGAGGAAUAUUGGACAAUGGAGGCAACUCUGAUCCAGCCAUGCCGCGUGCAGGAAGACGGCCCUAUGGGUUGUAAACUGCUUUUAUACGGGAAGAACCACAUCUACGUGUAGAUGCUUGACGGUACCGUAUGAAUAAGGACCGGCUAACUCCGUGCCAGCAGCCGCGGUAAUACGGAGGGUCCAAGCGUUAUCCGGAAUCAUUGGGUUUAAAGGGUCCGUAGGCGGGAUAAUAAGUCAGUGGUGAAAGUCUGCAGCUCAACUGUAGAAUUGCCAUUGAUACUGUUGUUCUUGAAUUAUUAUGAAGUGGUUGGAAUGAGUAGUGUAGCGGUGAAAUGCAUAGAUAUUACUCAGAACACCUAUUGCGAAGGCAGAUCACUAAUAAUAUAUUGACGCUGAGGGACGAAAGCGUAGGUAGCGAACAGGAUUAGAUACCCUGGUAGUCUACGCCGUAAACGAUGGUUACUAGCUGUUCGGCUCGAUUGAGAGCUGAGUGGUUAAGCGAAAGUGAUAAGUAACCCACCUGGGGAGUACGUUCGCAAGAAUGAAACUCAAAGGAAUUGACGGGGGCCCGCACAAGCGGUGGAGCAUGUGGUUUAAUUCGAUGAUACGCGAGGAACCUUACCAGGGCUUAAAUGCAGUUGGACAGGUCUGGAAACAGACCCUUCUUCGGACUAAUUGCAAGGUGCUGCAUGGUUGUCGUCAGCUCGUGCCGUGAGGUGUCAGGUUAAGU